This 253-nucleotide ribosomal RNA is filed under the name uncultured bacterium. RNAcentral's name for it is "partial 16S ribosomal RNA". It matches the Rfam family "Bacterial small subunit ribosomal RNA", at positions 524 to 776 of the family's 1533-position model. The record is from RNAcentral.
UACGUAGGGGGCUAGCGUUGUUCGGAAUUACUGGGCGUAAAGCGCGCGCAGGCGGUCCUUUAAGUCAGGGGUGAAAGCCCAGAGCUCAACUCUGGAACUGCCUUUGAAACUAGAGGACUUGGGUACGGGAGAGGUGAGUGGAAUUCCGAGUGUAGAGGUGAAAUUCGUAGAUAUUCGGAAGAACACCAGUGGCGAAGGCGGCUCACUGGCCCGUUACCGACGCUCAGGCGCGACAGCGUGGGGAGCAAACAGG